Molecule: non-coding RNA, 6014 nt
Organism: Rattus norvegicus (Norway rat)
Lineage: Eukaryota; Metazoa; Chordata; Mammalia; Rodentia; Muridae
Source: RefSeq, a predicted model, not a curated record
CAGGUGGGUGUGGGAUGAUGUCACAGGUGAGGCAAGUACAAGAUAGAAGGAGGCCUGUCAUUGGACAAGAAGGAAGGGUGGGCGGGAGAAAAGUUUGAAGGAAGAGGAGGAGACUGGAACCGGAAAGAGGAAGAGACAGGAAGGAGAGAGAGGGGGCAGUCAUGGCGGAGAGAAAAUGGAAACUGACGUUAAGAGUCCCUCUGUGUACUUACAGGGAGCAAGUGAAGUCUUGCAUUGUCCUGACCCACAGGGCAGUCAGCGGUGGUUGGGGACUACCUAGGAGAGAACAGAAGACAAGAAGCUAGAAGAAAGAUACCAAAACAGGAUUCUGAUCAAGGCAACAAAUUUUAUUUUUUCCCAAGGCUGAAUUUAUACCAUAGCAGGGGUAACAGAGGGAGGGGGGAAGCAGGAAAUAUUUAUGCAGGCCAAGGACACUGUGCUCUUGUGGUCAGGCAAUUGGCUGACAUCAACAGGAUGUCAGAAAGGUCACAAGUUUGUCAUAUCAUUAGGCAACCUGACUACCAGAUUUGUAUUAACCUUCUGCAGCUGGCUGGGGAUUUUCCAUCGUCCUGACCUCUUAAUGAUCCCAGUCAUACUUAACUCUAACUAUAAUAUUAACAUCAAUGAUGGAGGGUUUUAAGGGCAUAGCUCCCAAUAUUGCAUGGCAUGGUGGUUUGAGUAAGAGUGGUCCCCAUAGAUUCAUGUUGAAUGCUUGUCCACAGGGAGUGGCACUAUUAGGAGGUGUGGCCUUGAUUGAGUAGGUGUGGCCUUGUUGAAGGAAGGAUAUCAUUGUGGGGGCAGGCUUUAAGGUCUUAUAUGUUCAAGUUGUGCCUAGUGCGGGACAUAGUCUCCUUUCCAUGCCUGCAGAUAAAGACAUAGAACUCGCAGCCCCUCCAGCACCAAGUCUGCCUAUACACUGCCGUGCUUUCCACCAUGAUGAUAAUGAACUAACCCUCUGAAACUAUAAGCCAGUCUUAAUGGAAUGUUGUCCUUUAUAAGAGUUGCUGUGGCGAUGGUGUCUCUUCCCAGCAAUAGAGCACAAGAUAUUUGUAGAACACUGCUACCUACUGAGGCUUCUUUUACCAAGAUGAGCUGAACUGGCCUGUUAUCAGUUGUAUAGAAUAACCUCAACUGCACUAAAGAAACACAGCAAGCUCCUGUACCACGGCACCUUCAUCUGAAAGCCCAGCCUACCUGAUCCCAAUUCUUCUGUUUCUGUCACCUCGCCGUUCUCUUGUUAGCCCUACUCAGGGGUCUGAGAGCCAUGCUGUGCAAGGACACACACGUGUUGGUUUUAUCUGGUUUUAUUUUUGGGGCAACAAUGACUUUGUAAAAAAGACGUUGGUAGCAUUUUUCCUGUUUUUGCUGUUGGAUUAAGCCGGUGAGUUUAGAAUAACUUUUUAUAGCAAUAAUAACUCAUUUGGUGUUGUGCAAGACGCUCAUCCAGUACUUGCAGAUGGGAUGGACUGUGAGCUCGUUUCAGCUUAGAGCCUUUAGGGUGGUUUAUCCCCCUUACAUUCACGCCACUGGGCUUAGCUUGCAACCGUGCUUGAGCGACCUCGCCCUUUUCUCCUUUGCCUAAUUUAGUGUCCACUGGACACCCCAGUGUCUCCAGCUAUUUGAGAGGGCCCAGGGCUUGCUUUGGAGAGAUAGCACCCUGUUAUAGAUUCUGUCACUUAUAUUUUAACAUUGUUUAAGCAUUGAGGGUAUAGAGUUUUAUCAGUAUUUUAAAAAUGGCAUCAUACAUAAACAGCAUGUGAGUGUAUUAUAUCUUAUGCCUAUAUACACAUAUGCAUAUAUACAUGUGUUCUUCUAUAGGGAGACAUGUACUUACAUUAUCAAAAUGUAUGCCUAUAAAUCAAACAUUCCCCUUGGCUUAUCAUUGUAGUUUGUGUCAUGGUAAAUCUAUUGUCGUUGAAGAUAGUGUAAACAGAAAUGUUUCUGAUGCCACUAACCUAUCUAAUAUUUCAGUGACACAGCACGCUGUCAAUUGUCUACUGAUAUGGUGGCAUGGCGACUGUGAGCUUCGUCAUUAAAGAGUAACGCACUGCUUAUUGGUCUUGGGAAAGAGUCUAAUUCAAGACUAGAACCCUAAUUUCUUCUGCACAUGUAUCAUUUUCACACUGUGGUAAAGCGAAGACACUGUAUGUUGAACCACAUCAGUUGGCAUCUAUCUGUAAUCUACACGUGGGGUUCAUUUUAUAGAAGCCUGUUAUUUCCCAAGGCCAGCACAGACGACACAAUUCAUUUCAAGGGACAGACGAACACUACUGAACCAACAUCCAUCCUGCCACUGUCUUCUUGGUUAACCUUUGGUAUUAAUAUAGAAGAAUAACAAGAGGCUCCCGUAUCCCAAGGGUGUCACCUCCAUGGGAAACUAUUGGUUUGGGCUUAAUUUUUCUGGCCAAUAGGCAACUAUGCAUAUGUAUUUAAUACUUUUUACAGUGCUAAGUACCCUGGAAGAAUUGAAGACUAACUCUGUGGCCCCAGUACAACCUAGCAUACGCGGAUGCCAUUUCUCAGAAAAACACUUUAAUUCGUCCUGAGAAUUUGACUUUGCCCCUUGCUGUACUUGCAGAGAUCCGUGUUGUUCUCCUGUGACAUGUUUUCCUUUUACACAAGGGUGUAGUUUUAUGAACAGCAACAUUCCCCAGUAGACUCUGAGCACCCUGGGUGCAGAAGCACCUUAUUUAUAAAACAUGCUUGGUAUUCUGUGCAAGUACUGAGAUACAGUAGAAUUCAGCCAACCCCUUUUUGGCAUUAAAGGAAUGGGUCUUUUGGUUCUUAGAGUCUGGUCAUUGGGGUAAGCAGCUGAAAAGCAAGUUAGAAAUGGAGGCUUGCUGGGUCUGUUUUGAGUGCUUGUGGAUAAUUUCCAUGGUUCCUUGCAGUAAGUCUCUAAUGAGGACCCAGAGGAGAGAGAGGUUCCAGUCUGGCCUGAUCAUUGGAAUGGCGCUGUACUUGGUGAUCUGUUUCUUUUCCUAUGUAGGCACUGAGAACUUCUUGAUCAUUCCUCUUUCCUUUUUCACGUUGGGGCUACAGACACAGAUUCAAUGUGGCCUCUCACACAACAGACAUAUAUGGAUGUAUAGAAUUAAUUUGUACAUCAAACUCCUGUCCUGAAUCAAUCUCUUUACACUCUUACUUUGCACCCUGGGGCUUUUUUGUCUGCGGAUUAAUUGUUUUAGUAUGAAACUUUGAAGUAUAGUCUGCAAAAUUUUCAUACUUUUCCAUGAUCAUUCUUUAAAAGUAUUUUAUUUAAUAUUCAUACACAGAUAUAGUGUGUUUCAUUAGGAAUCUGCAUGUUCAUAUGCUAAGGUCCUUGUCUCCAAUUGGAUUUUGAUUGAUCAAUAAAGAUGCCAUCUGCCAAUGGCUAGGUGGAAAGAAAGAGGUGGGACUUUCAGGUUUUCACAGGCUAGGAGAGAGGAGAGAGAUCAGGAAGAAGAGAAUCGAGAUACUUGGGGGAGAGAAGGAACAGACUCAGAGCUGCAGGGAGAUCUUCCAUAAUAUAGGCAGAAAAGAAAAGCAGCCCACAGAAGGGCAACCCAAAAGUGUCUUGGGUAGCAAGACCAGUGGACUUCGCAGAAGGUAACUGGGCGACUAAGCUGAGGGCAGAUUUAGAGUUGUUGAGCUAGGAGUAAAGGGAAGGGCACAUUAGCCAAGGGAGGCUUGGAAGAGCCCAGCCACUGAGCCGGUAAGGCAGGUUAAAAAUGAGCUAGCGUGUGUCUGUCUUUCAUCUGCAGAUCUGAGAGAGCUCCUGGGCGGUACGUGCAUGCAACCAGCUGGGCCCACAAAGCAGGACAGUAAGGUUGGGGAUUCCUCCGACCGUCCUUUUGAUUACACAGGAGGGUUUUAUCUCUCCUGUUUCUAUCCCUCGAUGUUUCCUUAGCAGGCAUACACAUUUCCUGCUUGUUCUACAACUCAUCAACGGACUCAGCUGAGGUUGCCCAAGGCAUUUAAUACCGAGUUUAGAAGACCUAGAUAGACAAUUUGGUCUUUGUCUUUCCUUUGGACUAAUUAGUAGUACUGAUUAACUUCUGUUUCAGUGUUGUUGUUGAACCCAGGGCCUCUUAUAUGCUAGGACUUUACUUUACCACCGAGCACCACAUUUUCUGUCCAUUGGUAGCACCACGUUUUCUUAUUAGCUUAAAUUUUUAUACAAAGACUAACUCAUAGGGCGGGAGAGAGGGCUCCGAGGUUAACAGCACUGGCUGCUCUUCCAGAGGUCCUUGGUUUGAUUCUUAGCACUCAUAUGAGUGAUGACUGAAAACGAUCUAUAACUCCAGUUUCAAGACAUCUGAUGCCCUCUUUGUUUAGAAUCAUCCUGUUGGUGAGACUUUACAUGUGUUGCUUCUGACAUUACUAGAAGACACAAUCUCAUAGCAAACUCCCUGAUUCUCUGGCUCCCACAGUCUUUCUGCCCCCUCUUCUAUCCCUCAUGUUCAUUGAGCAUUAGGUUUGGGUGUUGUUUAGUCCACUGAGACAAGGCUCCACAAUGUGGACAUGUCAAUGAGCAGAUGUUUAUAAAUUGUUGUUAGAAAUAUGCUGGUUUAGUGAAAUAGUAGUUGUAGAUUCUCUUCCAAGACCCUUGACUUUGGUUCUGGUUAGUUGGAGAGGUUUCCAAUAAUGGGCAUAAUUUCCCUCUUGAAGAACGGGUCUUAAAUUCAGAUAGGGAGCUGUUGGUUAUCAUCAGGUGUAUGUGCCACUGCUGCACCCUUAGGGUUACUGUGCCAUGCAGAUCAUUGCUGUGUUUCAUAGCUAUAAUAGCUUGGUAGGACUCUUGGCUCCUUUUGAAGUUUGCAUGGUGCAUUCUGGUCCCAUGAAAACUAGUCUCAGGGAGGAGGGUUCCAAGUCAGUUCCCACUCAUGGGCUUUUUGGCCCUGUUUCUGAAGUACAUGGUGUCUUCAGCAAUGGGGACUUAACUCUGUCCACUCUGGGGCAACCAGGGGCAAUAGAAAUAGCAUGUAAUGUUUUGGGAGUCUCUUGAUCAGUCUAGACUAACACCAUGGAAGAUGGUUCCUCAUAUUUGAGGUUGGGCUUUGCUAGAUAGUCUUUGGCUCUUAGAGGGAGCAGUGCCAGCCCAGAUGAGAAAAUUUCAUUUAAAUUAGAAAUGUACACUUAUACACAUACUUAUGUGUAUUCUAGUUUUCUUUAGGUGACUAGCUAAGAGCUUGGUUCUUUACGCCUUUGUCGUAAUCCUUAGUAUAAUUUUACCCUCCUCCAUCCUUCUUCUGUGUUUAUCUCUCUCGCCCUCCUGAAUUAGAACCCGUUUCCCCCUUGCCAUGGUCAGAUCACAUGCACUCCGCUAUGCCCCUCUCUAUUGCUCUACCACCCUCCAUUCACUCACUGUUCUCUUUUUAUUUCUCUGGUUGCUGCAGUUGCUCUCUCUGGGGCUGGGCUACCUCACUCUGUCUGAUUUUUUUUUCUAGUUCCAUCUAUUUACUGGAAUAGACCAUGGAGACGUGUCAUCGUGUUGUGUGAUGAUUCAAUUGUCUCAGAGAUGACCCGUUUAAACGUCUCCAAGUGAAUUUCAUUUGUCUGAAUUUUGACAUGGCUCCAGGGAUCUUUGAGAGAUGGUCCAGUAAUAGUUUCCAGGCUUGCUCUAUGCUUUAUUGACCUAGAUCUAAAGCAGUUACUUCUCCAGGGGAUUCUGAUCACUUUCAGUGGGCAACACGAUUUAGGGACCACUAAUGGAGGAUUGGAUGUUAACCUCUUACCUAAGAACAUGGGAGUGGGACGGACUGAGCUGUAGACAUCACUGUAUGGAUGUUAAGUGUGCUCAUUGCUUCUGAGAUGGAGGGAUUAAUUUCCUGAAAGUCUGUCCAGUGAAAGGAGGCACAAACUUCAUUUUUGAGACUGGGUCUUAUUAUGGAGCUCAGGCUGAAACUGGACUCACAAACCCGUAUCUCCAGAGUGAUGCAUUACAGGCCUGCAUCGUGAUACCCAGGAUGCUUCAUAGUUUUCAUUGGCAAAACACUUUACAAUGGUAUAACGAUACACUUCCAAUUAAAAUUUAU